Long non-coding RNA from Lytechinus variegatus (green sea urchin), 353 nucleotides. RefSeq lists it as uncharacterized. NCBI's taxonomy places the organism in Eukaryota, Metazoa, Echinodermata, Echinoidea, Temnopleuroida, Toxopneustidae. The record is from RefSeq and is a predicted model, not a curated record. The transcript has 3 exons.
UAAUUAUCUGUUUUUAGAAUUGAUGUUCGAAAUCAUGAUUUCUGAGUGAACUUCAAAGGAGCAGAAAAUCUUGGAGGAAACAUUGAUAUCAAUCUAAUGACAUUCCAUAGGAAUAACAAUCCAAUGGGAUCCAGUUCUUAGCAGUCCCAGCCUAGUCAGAAGUACAAAGUCAAAUACCAUUUGCACAUCACCAAGAGGUACAAUCUCAUGAGUAACAGGAUAUCUGAUCUAAAAGCUUGCCAGGUUUCACAAGCAGUUUGAGUAUCACCAGGGCAGAUCAAGAAGAAAUAUGAAGGCCAGGUUCAUAACAAGCAGUUUCUUCAUUGCAAUUACAGAUUUAAAAACUUGAAUGA